GUCUCAGUUCGGAUUGGAGUCUGNAACCCGAACCUCCAUGAAGCUGGAUUCGCUAGUAAUCGCGCAUCAGCCACGGCGCGGUGAAUACGUUCCCGGGCCUUGUACACACCGCCCGUCAAGCCAUGGAAGCCGGGAGUGCCUGAAGUGCGUGAGCGCAAGCAGCGCCCUAAGGUAAAACCGGUGACUGGGGCUAAGUCGUAACAAGGUAUC
This 210-nucleotide ribosomal RNA is filed under the name uncultured bacterium. Its description in RNAcentral is "partial 16S ribosomal RNA". It matches the Rfam family "Bacterial small subunit ribosomal RNA", at positions 1285 to 1500 of the family's 1533-position model. The record is from RNAcentral.